GCCGCCAUGGUGAAAUUGGUAGACACGCUGCUCUUAGGAAGCAGUGCUCAAGCAUCUUGGUUUGAAUCCGAGUGGCGGCA
Molecule: non-coding RNA, 80 nt
Organism: Triticum aestivum (bread wheat)
Lineage: Eukaryota; Viridiplantae; Streptophyta; Magnoliopsida; Poales; Poaceae
Source: Rfam